UUGACGCUUGGACAUUCAAUCCAUAGCCGGACUAAAUCAAUCUACAAAGACUUCGUUAACACGCUAAACAUUUUCUAUCAUGGCGUUCUGAUUGUUUUUCCAUCAAACUUGUCACGAAGUAACAUUUCAAAUUAGGAAAAGUUUUACAGAGAUUUACGAAAGAACCCCAGCGUAAUUUCCAUUCUCAAGCUGAGACGUGCCCCCGUCUUUUUGCACACGUCGGGAAAACGAACACCACUAGCUCUCUGAGGACUUUGAGCAUUUUUUUCCUGUUGUUGUUAUUGUUGAGGUUAAUAAAUCAACCAGUUCUUUUAGGACUGUCACGAGAAGUUUUGAACAUGAGGACACCGCUCUUGAUCCUGCUUAUAAGUUUAGCGUUCACUGUGGGAACCGCCGAGAACCAUUUACUGGAACAGUACGGGAACGAUGAGGACCUACAGCAUCAACUUCAAAACGAGGCUUACUACAAAAGAGGCUUCUGGGAUAAAAGGGGAUUCUGGGAUAAACGGAUGUCCCAUAAAGACUUUUCUCACGGAUCAGACGAUUCAUCCUGGAAUAAUUUGAUUCUUUUAUUGAAGGAUUAUAUAAGAUAUAAACACGAGUCCAACAAGAAAGAGCAAGUUUUUUCUAAUGGAUUACAGAAUUCUCAUUAAGGAUUGUUUUGAGAUAAAAGAAACUUACUUGACUGUCUCAGCUAUAAUUUUCUAUGUCAAUCGAUACUAUUGCUAAGUAUUAUUAUUAUUUUGAUUAAUAAACAGUAUAAAAGAGUUUAAUAAAUGAUUUUUU
Molecule: long non-coding RNA, 786 nt
Organism: Magallana angulata
Lineage: Eukaryota; Metazoa; Mollusca; Bivalvia; Ostreida; Ostreidae
Exons: 2
Source: RefSeq, a predicted model, not a curated record